Cyanistes caeruleus (blue tit) is the source of this 340-nucleotide non-coding RNA. The record is from RefSeq and is a predicted model, not a curated record. NCBI's taxonomy places the organism in Eukaryota, Metazoa, Chordata, Aves, Passeriformes, Paridae.
CCAACCCUGUCCCUGUCCCCAACCCUGUCCCCAUUGUCACCCUGGGGUUGGGGUGUCCCCAAGGUGUCCCCGAGGUGUCCCCGAGGUGUCCCCAGGGGUGUCCUGGUGUCCCCGAGGUGUCCCGAGGUGUCCCCGAGGUGUCCCCAAGGCCGCCGUCCCCGAGGCGCCGCCGUCCCCCGGCGAUGGCAGCGAGGCCGAGGGGCCCCGGAAGGGGGAGGAGGAGGAGGGGCCCGGCCACAGAGAGCCCGAGGCCGAAGGAGCCCCGGCCCGCGAGGAGCGGCCAGGUGCCGAGGCCGAGAAGGGGGCGGGGCCAGAGAAAGGGGAGGAGAAAACCCCGGAG